CCUACGGGAGGCAGCAGUGGGGAAUAUUGCACAAUGGGGGAAACCCUGAUGCAGCGACGCCGCGUGAGUGAAGAAGUAAUUCGGUAUGUAAAGCUCUAUCAGCAGGGAAGAAAAUGACGGUACCUGUGUAAGAAGCCCCGGCUAUCUACGUGCCAGCAGCCGCGGUAAUCCGUAGGUGGCAAGCGUGAUCCGGAUUUACUGGGGGUAAAGGGAGCGUAGACGGGAGUGCAAGUCUGGUGUGAAAGGCGGGGGCGCAACCCCCGGACUGCACUGGAAACUGUACGGCUGGAGUGCAGGAGAGGUAAGUGGAAUUCCUAGUGUAGCGGUGAAAUGCGGAGAUAUUAGGAGGAACACCAGUGGCGAAGGCGGCUUACUGGACUGUAACUGACGUUGAGGCUCGAAAGCGUGGGGAGCAAACAGGAUUAGAUACCCUUGUAGUC
This 440-nucleotide ribosomal RNA is filed under the name uncultured bacterium. RNAcentral's name for it is "partial 16S ribosomal RNA". It matches the Rfam family "Bacterial small subunit ribosomal RNA", at positions 338 to 795 of the family's 1533-position model. The record is from RNAcentral.